Molecule: ribosomal RNA, 194 nt
Filed under: uncultured Glomus
Lineage: Eukaryota; Fungi; Glomeromycota; Glomeromycetes; Glomerales; Glomeraceae
Description: partial 18S ribosomal RNA
Rfam family: Eukaryotic small subunit ribosomal RNA
Source: RNAcentral
AGCAGCCGCGGUAAUUCCAGCUCCAAUAGCGUAUAUUAAAGUUGUUGCAGUUAAAAAGCUCGUAGUUGAAUUUCGAGACCGGCUUAUUGGUCGUGCUUUUGUACGUACUGGUAUAAUCGGUUUCUCCUUUCUGACUAACCAUGAUGUCAUUAAUUUGGUGUCAUGGGGAAUCAGGACUGUUACUUUGAAAAAAU